This is a long non-coding RNA of Carassius gibelio (silver crucian carp), 1092 nucleotides long. RefSeq lists it as uncharacterized. Lineage: Eukaryota; Metazoa; Chordata; Actinopteri; Cypriniformes; Cyprinidae. The transcript is spliced from 3 exons. The record is from RefSeq and is a predicted model, not a curated record.
CUUUGUGCAGCAUUGGUCUGUUCACUACCACAUUCAGCAUAGAACUGAUGUCAUUCUAUUACCCUGGCCCUUUCUCACUUUAAUCAGACUGAAUUAGCAUUUUUGCCCUAUAAUCUAUUUAUCUGCACUGUUUGUUCACUUAACUGGUUUGCAUUUGCCAUUUGCCUUGUGCUGCUUUAUUUAACACUAUUUUAUUUUGAUUAUUUUUUACAUGCCCUUGUAUAGUUGUAUUUUAUAUUUUAUAUUUGAUAUAGAUUUUUAGGCUCUACUGUUAAUGUUUUCUGUAUGCUCAGGGGUCUGAGAGUUAAGCAACUUUGAUUCUCUGUAUGUAUGUACUGUACAUGUGGAAGAAUUGACAAUAAAGCAAGUAAAAGCAAGUAAAAAAAAAAAAAAAAAAACAUUUAAUAACACUAAUUACUCACCAAAUCCUUCAUCUCUUGAAUUACUGUAUUGAAUUUAAAAUACUGUAAAUCUGUUAUCAAAUAAGCAUGUGUCCUAUUCUGUGUCCUACACUUCUGUAUCUGUAUGUGUGUGUUUGUGUAAAUAUUCAGAUGUAAGUGUUAUUUAAUUUUAUUUGCAAUAACUGUAACAGAUUACAGUUACUUUUAUUGUGUAAUUAAAUUACGUAACUUCAUUGCAUGUUAACAGUUACUCCCAACACUGGUUCUUGGUUAGCCAUUGACUUCUGUUUUUUUGUUUUUUCUUAUCAUGGAAGCCAUGGCUACCGGCAAACUUUUUUUUUUUUUUCAACAUUCUUCAAAAUCUUCUUCUUCUUUUGUGUUCAACAGGUUUGGAAAAACUUGAGUGUUUAAUGAGAACCCCUGAGAGCUGUUGAGAUACAGGCUAGUGGUCUGGAAAGAAGAGUGGUGGGCUGCCCCUCUGAAAGGCACAAUCGCUCUCUAAAUAACUCCCAUCCUGAGGCCUAUGCAUACUUGGGCUGCAGGAAAGUGAUCUCCAACCAGAGAAGCGUGUCCACUGUCCCAGCAAUGUCUCUUAACAACUUCAGUCCCAGAACCGCCUCAAGUCCAGCUCCAGUCCCGCGUGACCUCGGAGAAAAGUGGCACAGCUGAGUUCCUCAGAUGUGAAGAGGGU